GAGAGAGCCAGAAUAGACAGCUCCUACAUUUCAUCUCCAUAGACGCUGGUAGAAGAGGCAUGCAAAGAGACAUGGUACAAAUCCAAGUUAAGGAAUUGUUCUCAGGAGAUUAAGCCAUGCCCCACUUCUGUGUAAUAGAUGAUAUCAACAUUGGCGUGGUGUUAAUAAUGAAGAGGAUAGGUCACUAAGGUGGAACAUUGUAGAUUACUUGGUAAACUGGAUGCAAGCAAAGAAUGUGAUUUUUAAUAUAGCUAAAUGUAAAUGUAUACAUCUAGGUUAAAAGAAUAUAGACCUUAUUUAUGGUGCAGGGGACUCUAUCCUGGCAAGCAAAGACUCUGAAAAAACGCAUUUGGUUUGUGAUCAAUAAUCAGCAGAAACUG
Molecule: non-coding RNA, 380 nt
Organism: Pelodiscus sinensis (Chinese soft-shelled turtle)
Lineage: Eukaryota; Metazoa; Chordata; Testudines; Trionychidae
Source: RefSeq, a predicted model, not a curated record